ACUACAACAGGUCUUGGCACACAUCUCCACCAUCCCGCCCCCUUCACCCGAUGGCCCUUCCGACAGUGCGUUAUGGAAAUACAAAGAAGAAGAUUUCAGGCCCUAUUUCUCCUCAUCAAGGACGUGGAACUUAACCAGGACGGUACAUGUUAUCGCUCCUUGGAGUUCCAUUGUCUGGUUCCCCUUGGCCAUACCGAGGCAUGCUUUCCUUCACUGGCAGGUUAUGUUGUCCCGACUGCCGACGAAAGACCGUCUUCAACAAUGGGGAAUCACGUCAGAUGCAACAUGUAGGUUGUGCGAUGGGGAGGAUGAAUCCCAUCAGCAUUUGUUCUUCGGCUGCACCUAUGCUUCCCACCUUUGGCGCCACUUUGGGGAAGUUUGUUGGGCAGACCCACCAAGCGAUUUGGUGGGGAUUCUGGCGUGGCUCAGCAGACCGGACCAUGCUGCCUCGAGAAACAGAAGAAAGAUUGCCAAGUUUAUUCUCGGACGCAAUGAAAGAUUCUUGCUUUUCACCCAUGCAUGCAUGCACGCACGCACGUACGUACCUGGAUUGAUUCCAUCGGUGUUGGGGACAGUAACGGGAGCGAGAAUGGUAACGUCUUUGACGAUAAGGUUCUUGCAGUAGACGGGAUGAACAUUCCACGAAGGCGAAUCGAUCAACGUAAUGUUCGAAAUCUGGACAUCCUCGGAGAAGAUUAUCUCGAUCAGGUGUGGUCUCUCCUUGAUUUCACCCUUCUUGAACUUGUCCCACCAGUAUUGUCCUUGUCCGUUGAUCGUACCAUUGUUACCUAUGAUCAACGGCUCGGAUUCAAUAAUAAUCAAUAGCGUAAAAUAAGGGUUAUGGUGAAAUGUUGGUUAUGGGCAUACCGGUGAUAACCACGUCGGUUAGGUUUGUACCGGAGAUCAAACUAUUGAACCUUUGCAUUGGGUACGACGGCAA
Tarenaya hassleriana is the source of this 940-nucleotide long non-coding RNA. RefSeq lists it as uncharacterized. The transcript has 2 exons. NCBI's taxonomy places the organism in Eukaryota, Viridiplantae, Streptophyta, Magnoliopsida, Brassicales, Cleomaceae. The record is from RefSeq and is a predicted model, not a curated record.